RNAcentral lists this ribosomal RNA (301 nucleotides) under uncultured bacterium. RNAcentral describes it as "partial 16S ribosomal RNA". It matches the Rfam family "Bacterial small subunit ribosomal RNA", at positions 509 to 809 of the family's 1533-position model. The record is from RNAcentral.
CAGUAGCCGCGGGAAUACGUAGGUGGCGAGCGUUGUUCGGAAUCAUUGGGCGUAAAGGGAGCGCAGGCGGGCAUGUAAGUCUUUCUUAAAAGUUCGGGGCUCAACCCCGUGAUGGGAAAGAAACUACAUGUCUUGAGUACAGGAGAGGAAAGCGGAAUUCCCAGUGUAGCGGUGAAAUGCGUAGAUAUUGGGAGGAACACCAGUGGCGAAGGCGGCUUUCUGGACUGCAACUGACGCUGAGGCUCGAAAGCCAGGGGAGCGAACGGGAUUAGAUACCCGAGUAGUCCCUGUCUCUUAUACA